Dreissena polymorpha is the source of this 335-nucleotide long non-coding RNA. RefSeq lists it as uncharacterized. The transcript has 3 exons. The record is from RefSeq and is a predicted model, not a curated record. NCBI's taxonomy places the organism in Eukaryota, Metazoa, Mollusca, Bivalvia, Myida, Dreissenidae.
AGCAAGUGGCAAUUGUCCAUACGGCUUUUUGGAGUUCGGGAUAUCCUGCUUUCACUUUAGCCACGACGCUCAAACAUGGAUAAGCUCGCAGGUAGCAUGCAGCCAGGCAUUAUUUCCCACAAAAGCGGAUCUUGUGGAAAUCAAUAACUACGGAGAGAACCAUUUCCUGUGGCAACAUGCUCUGGCGACUAAAAGAGAUUACUGGGUAGGAGCCUCAGAAUUGCAGACUCUGAAUGUGUACAGGUGGCUUAAGUCGACAAAAGUAGUGAACACUCUUGCCAGUUACUGGCACCCAGGAGAACCCAACAGAGCGCGCCCCAACAAACAAUGCAUGG